This 253-nucleotide ribosomal RNA is filed under the name uncultured bacterium. RNAcentral's name for it is "partial 16S ribosomal RNA". It matches the Rfam family "Bacterial small subunit ribosomal RNA", at positions 524 to 776 of the family's 1533-position model. The record is from RNAcentral.
UACGUAGGGGGCAAGCGUUGUCCGGAAUCAUUGGGCGUAAAGAGCGUGUAGGCGGUUCGAUAAGUCUGCUGUGAAAGUCCAAGGCUCAACCUUGGGAUGCCGGUGGAUACUGUCGAACUCGAGUCCGGAAGAGGAGUGUGGAAUUCCUGGUGUAGCGGUGAAAUGCGCAGAUAUCAGGAGGAACACCGAUGGCGAAGGCAGCACUCUGGGACGUGACUGACGCUGAGACGCGAAAGCGUGGGGAGCAAACAGG